Molecule: transfer RNA, 58 nt
Filed under: Canis lupus (wolf)
Lineage: Eukaryota; Metazoa; Chordata; Mammalia; Carnivora; Canidae
Description: partial tRNA-Ala
Rfam family: tRNA
About the family: Transfer RNA (tRNA) molecules are approximately 80 nucleotides in length.
Source: RNAcentral
GAGGGCUUAGCUUAAUUAAAGUGUUUGAUUUGCAUUCAAUUGAUGUAAGAUAGAUUCU